UACGUACGAGGCGAGCGUUAUCCGGAAUUACUGGGCGUAAAGCGCGCGCAGGCGGAUGCUUAAGUCGGGCGUGAAAUCUCCCGGCCUAACUGGGAGGGGUCGCUCGAGACUGGGCGUCUUGAGGACUGCAGAGGUGGGUGGAAUUCCUGGUGUAGUGGUGAAAUGCGUAGAGAUCAGGAGGAACACCGGUGGCGAAGGCGGCCCACUGGGCAGUCACUGACGCUGAGGCGCGAAAGCUCGGGGAGCGAACGGG
Molecule: ribosomal RNA, 253 nt
Filed under: uncultured prokaryote
Description: partial 16S ribosomal RNA
Rfam family: Bacterial small subunit ribosomal RNA
Source: RNAcentral